GGCGGAGGGCGCGAGAGGCUGACGGCGUGGGGAGGGGGUAUAGGCGCUGGGCGGAGUGCUGAGCUCGGAGAGCCUGGCACUCGGAGCUGCUACCCCCUCCCCCCCCCCAAGUCCCCUAGAAACCCCUUUUCAUCCAUCCUCCCGGGGCGGGGCGAGGAGGGCUGAGCUGUCCCGGGCGGGCGGGGCGGAGCCCGGAGCCCCACCGAGCGAGCGCUGCGGUGUGAAUCUAACCUCCUUUCCUGGGCUCAAGGACACGGAUCUCAUCUCCAGCCAAAACCAGGAAUCUUUUGGAUAUGCGAGUCAUUCAUCAUUUACGAGAGAGCUGUAGUCAACCAAGCCAAAGAAGGACUGCUUCCAAAGCAAAGCCCUCUUCUAACACUGGACUGUAUGUGCUAAUCAUCAGAGCUGUUGGCUGAAAUGAAAUCCAUUUAGAAUAGUCAGGUUGUGAUUGAGGAAGUACUGUAAAUAAUCACUUCAAUGCUGGGGAUUUCCUUAAAUGCUAUUUGGUGGAAAAAUGUUACCAGUUUCUUAUAUUUUUAAGUGAGAGAAUAAUUGAAUAUUAAGAUUUAAAUGGCAAAAUUUCUAUGACCA
Molecule: long non-coding RNA, 591 nt
Filed under: Dasypus novemcinctus (nine-banded armadillo)
Lineage: Eukaryota; Metazoa; Chordata; Mammalia; Cingulata; Dasypodidae
Description: lncRNA (ENSDNOG00000052075.1)
Source: RNAcentral